Molecule: transfer RNA, 69 nt
Filed under: Otophryne sp. AF3571
Lineage: Eukaryota; Metazoa; Chordata; Amphibia; Anura; Microhylidae
Description: tRNA-Asp
Rfam family: tRNA
About the family: Transfer RNA (tRNA) molecules are approximately 80 nucleotides in length. Their secondary structure includes four short double-helical elements and three loops (D, anti-codon, and T loops).
Source: RNAcentral
GAGGUAUUAGUUAAACCAUAACCCUGCCUUGUCAAGACAAUAUUACAGGUUAGACCCCUGUCUACCUCU